Long non-coding RNA from Corvus hawaiiensis (hawaiian crow), 1906 nucleotides. RefSeq lists it as uncharacterized. The transcript is spliced from 5 exons. Lineage: Eukaryota; Metazoa; Chordata; Aves; Passeriformes; Corvidae. The record is from RefSeq and is a predicted model, not a curated record.
CCAGCCGAGCCAUGUUGGUCUGGCUCUCCGAGAGCAGCUGUGUGACACAUGGAGGGGCACAGAAUUGUGGCUAAAUUGGGGCCAGGGUCCAGGUAAGCACCUAUUGCCACCAGAGAGGAGAAAUCCCCAAACCUGGGUGCAUUGGUGCUGCCACCCCAUGGGAUAAAGAGCAUCUCUCGGCAAAGGACAGGAUGACGGAGGCGGCAGGAAUAGCCGUGUCCUGAGGCAGCUGCCAGCUCUUCAUCGUCCCCUGAGGUGACCCAGGCUGGGAGAGUGACACGGGGUGGCCGUGGCACGGCAGGAGGAUGAGGAGCGAAGUGGAGCACCGAGAAACAAGCAGCUCUGGACAGAGGCAGCUGAGUACCAGGAGGUACUGGAGCAUCCAGCCAUGCCUGGAUCUUGCUGCACCACCUGGCAGACCCCUGGCAUACUCAGGGCGCUGAGCUCCUGCCCCAUGGCGCUGUGCCCCUUCUUGAGGCCGUCGCAGUCGGCGCGCAGCUGCACGGCGUGGGUCAGCAGCUUGGCCACCUCAUCUGCCACUGUGACCAGCAGGGCCUUCUGCUGGCUCUUGGUGGCCUUGGCCUCGGCAUCGUGGUCGGUGACGGCGCGCAGCAGGGAGGUCUGCAGCCCCUCCAUGCGGCCCAGCGUGCCGGCAGCGCUGGGGCAGUUGGGGUCGAUGAAGAUGUUGAUGCGGGAGCUGUCGGCUUUCUCGAUGGUCACCAGCGCGUUGGCUUCCUCGGGGUUGGUGCUGAUCACGGGGGGCGACUCGGUGACGGGCGUGUGGUAGUGGUUCAUGAAGAGGAUGGCCCCCGUGACUGUCACCGCCAGGAGGACGGCCACCGACAGCAGGACGGUGCACAGGAUGUACCCACAGCUCAUCCUCUGUAGGCAGAGACACAGACACACCAUCAGCACCCCUCUGGACAGACACAUCCCGCGCCCCUUCAUCCCAGAGAGCCUGCCUGCGACCGCUCCCACGGCACGCCACACUCUGCGGAUCGGGAAGAGGAGAGAAGGGAAGGAUGGCGAGCGCGCUGGAGCCGGCUCUGUGGGCUCGCCGGAGAUUCGCUGUCCUCCAGCUCUUCCCAGACACGUUUGCCCAUACUCCGCGCUCCUUCUUCCCACCCUGCCUGCACUCAGCGUGCAGCCAUGCCUGUGCCUAUCCCUAGAAGUGUCCAAAGCCAGGCUGGAUGGGGAUUUGAGCAACCUGGUCUAGUGGAAGGUGUCCCUGCCCAUGGCAGGGGGGUUGGAACUGGGUGAUCUUUAACGUCCCUUCCAAGCCGAACCAUGCUGGGCUUCCCGGACUCCCUACCUGCUCGGCCGUGCUCGGUGGCUGGUGGCCGGCCACGCCGGGCUGGCGGAGCUGGCACACGUGCAGCGGGAUGUGCAAACAGGCUCCGGCACGUGCCGGAUCCCCCGCGUGUCACCGCAGGCUCUGCCGCCGCUCCACCGCACCCCGCCGCAGCGCCGGCCUCCCCCCAAAAACCAGCGGGGCUCCUGGAGGUUAAGAGCGGGUCGGGCGGCCGGGAGCCCCCGAACCGGGAGGGAUGACUCCGGCUGCGGCGCGGAGCUGAGAUGCCAAAUCCCUUUUAAAGGGUUAUUUAAGCAGUUCAGAGCAUGUAGCGGUUCAGCAGAGGCGUGUGGCAGCCCCGGAGCAUCGCCCGCUGCCCGGCCGGGGCAGCCCCGGGGCUGGGAGGGAGCCCUGGCUCCAGGUUAAUAAACACAUUGAUUGGAGGGGGUGAGGAGGUGCAGCCCGGGGGGCUUCGCACGGGGGGGACUGGGGUGCAGCUCGCCACGCUGGGGUGCGCCGGGAGAAAAGCUCGCUGGGGACGCUGGGGGGUCGCUGAGACCCCCGGGCUGGCUGACCCCCCCUUGCCCCCGCCGCCCCCCGCCCCGUACCUGUGAU